UUUAGUUUUUUCACACUAUAAAAUGAUCAAACAAUUUCUAUUUCUAGAGUCAUAAAAGAGAAAAUAUGGCUAAAUAUUUAUUUCUACAACAAACUGCAGUAAGUAAUUUUUAUCAACGCUUCUAAAUUUGGCGAACGAUCGUACUUGAGAGUUUAGUUUGAUACUGCACUGGAAUUCUGCGAAGAUAAUGGGGAUUGCCACGAUUAUACCUGUACCCCACCUGCAGUUCCAAAUUGCGUAUUCAAUGCUGUGAAAAAUCUAAAGUCGUUUUUUGGAUUUGGGAUUUGUCAAUGUGUACCUUAAUUAGUGGUUUGUGAAUGUGUGAAUAAAUCCUAAAAUAAUUUCUUUAAGAAUAAUGUUUAAAAGGGCGUGGUGGUGAGGUGUUGACGUGGAGGUGUUGGUUUUGGCGCCGCCGGUGGGAGGUGAGGUGAGGUGUUUUGGCGCCGUGGUCCUUCUACCAAGUUUAGUGUCAAUCACCACUGAACCAACUAACGAUUGGUGUGGUUAUGGUUUUAUUUCGUUUAAUAAUAUGUUCUAUUUUAUUUUUUUACAAGUUUGAUACUGUAUGGCAAAUAGCAACUAUAAAAAAUUAUUUAUCAUUUUAUGGGAAAAAUAAAAAUUAUUGGA
Long non-coding RNA from Trifolium pratense (red clover), 627 nucleotides. RefSeq lists it as uncharacterized. Lineage: Eukaryota; Viridiplantae; Streptophyta; Magnoliopsida; Fabales; Fabaceae. The transcript is spliced from 2 exons. The record is from RefSeq and is a predicted model, not a curated record.